GCCAGGCACAGUGGCAAGUGCUUGUAGUCCCAGCUACUCAGGAGGCUGAGGUGGAAGGAUUACUUGAGCUCACAAGUUGGAGAUGAGCCUGGGCAACAUAGUGAGGCCCUGUCUCAA
Molecule: small RNA, 117 nt
Filed under: Marmota monax (woodchuck)
Lineage: Eukaryota; Metazoa; Chordata; Mammalia; Rodentia; Sciuridae
Source: RNAcentral